GUCGUAACAAGGUUUCCGUAGGUGAACCUGCGGAAGGAUCAUUACCACAAUUUUGGAAGAAGGAGGGGGGUCUGUUGGACUCUACUCCUUUUUAAGAGUGGGGGUUGUGCUUGGUUGCACGAUCCCUGCUUGCGUUCCGUGAAUCUGUGUGAGUUUGUCUGGUGGUGUUCGCACUGCCAGCAAUCUUCUCUAUGCCAUUUGGCUAGAUUUCUUAUUCUAUAGCUGAUGUUAAACGAUACGAACAUUCAAAACAAACGAAAUGUCAUAACACUUUCAGCAACGAAUGUCUAGGCUCCCAUAACGAUGAAGAACGCAGC
RNAcentral lists this unclassified non-coding RNA (317 nucleotides) under fungal sp. Its description in RNAcentral is "partial internal transcribed spacer region". The stretch from base 1 to 44 matches the Rfam family "Eukaryotic small subunit ribosomal RNA", at positions 1788 to 1831 of the family's 1831-position model. Lineage: Eukaryota; Fungi. The record is from RNAcentral.